CCUACGGGGGGCAGCAGUGGGGAAUAUUGGGCAAUGGAGGCAACUCUGACCCAGCAACGCCGCGUGAAUGAUGAAGGUCUUCGGAUUGUAAAGUUCUGUGAUGGGGGAUGAACACAAUGACGGUACCCCAAUAGCAAGCCACGGCUAACUACGGGCCAGCAGCCGCGUUAAUACGUAGGUGGCAAGCGUUGUCCGGAAUGACUGGGCGUACAGGGUGCGGAGGUGGUUUAGUAAGUUGUGGGUGUAAUUCCGGGGCGCAACCUCGGCGCUACCGCCAAAACUAUUAGACUUGAGUGCGGGAGAGGUAAGUGGAAUGCGUGGUGUAGCGGUGGAAUGCGUAGAUAUUAGGCAGAACACCGAGGGCGAAGGCAGCUUACUGG
This 380-nucleotide ribosomal RNA is filed under the name uncultured bacterium. Its description in RNAcentral is "partial 16S ribosomal RNA". It matches the Rfam family "Bacterial small subunit ribosomal RNA", at positions 338 to 732 of the family's 1533-position model. The record is from RNAcentral.